CCCUCGGCGGCUCCCACCGCCGCUCGCAGCCAGAGCGGUGUCCCGUGCGGCGGCGCCGGGACGCACCUGAGGCCCCCGCCGGCUCUGGCGUAGCAGCGGCCGCUGGGAAGCCCUGGGACCCGCUCGCUCCGUCACUCUCCCCUCCCCCGGAGGCUGCGCUGACCGGACAAUGGCCGCUCCGCCCCCUCCCCUCCUCACGCACCCCUCCCAAGGAGUCACAAUGGUCUCGCCCGGGGGAGCCGCCGCCAAAGCCCAGCAGCUGAUCAGCUGGGAUCCGGGCGUGCCACUUUGUUCCGCUCCUCAAAGGAAGGCUACUGGGCUCUGCGCUGAGCCGAGCGCGUCGGGCUAUCACUCGGCGACGGGCCUCUGAGGCUCCCGUAUUCUCGGGACUUUUAAAAUCUGAGGCAAACUUACCUUCUCCCCGUCGGAAGAAGGGGAGCAGGCUUCUGACUACUCUGAGGCGCGUUGCCUCCCCCCCAAACACGAAUGGUUCAUUUGUUUAUUCCUGAGACACACUGAGAGGCAGAGACCCAGGCAGAGGGAGCAGCAGGCUCCACGCAGGGAACCCGAUGCGGGACUCGAUCCCAGGACCCCGGGAUCACGCCCUGAGCCGAAGGCAGAUGCUCAACCGCUGAGCCCCCCCGGGCGCCCGAAAGCCUCUUUUUCUAGAGCGGACGGGUUUGGUUUCUGGGGGGAGCGCUGUGGCCGAAUCCGUGAUGAAAACUGAUGUAACCAAAAGAAGUUCGAGCCACUAAAAAAUAAGCGUUUAGCACUCUGUGUCUUUGAUCUUGAACCCGUGCUGAGCUCCAGCCGUUCGUGAGCAGAAGGAGAUUGUGAAUGACCAAUCUCAACGCGGGGGAAACUUGUACCAUGAUCUCCUGGAGAAGCGACCCACAGCUGAGACCCUUGUGGGCGAAAGUCCAGGUGCCAGCUGCUUGCAGGAAGCUUUCCUGGCUCUUAGAAAAAGCUGCUGUAUACGCCCAACUCGGCGGGAAUAUGAGACCUCAGAGGGGGUAUUACCUAGAUCAAUGUUAUUACCAAAUGUUGCUAUUUUAUUUCUAUAGCUACAGUUAUGUUUGUGCAUGAUCUGUGGACUUGUUAACGUGUGUGUCACCUCCUUUGGCCUCUAAAGAGCAAAGAUCACAGCUUAGCAUCCUCUUAGAGAUGCUGCUACUUGAUUGCAGAAGUCAAGUCCUUACAGCCAGCACACCCCAAAAUGAGAGUGCUGGUUUUCGUAAUACUGAGUUUCAACUUUGUGAUUUUUCACAAGCCUUCAAUAAAUAUUUUUGUCAAGAA
This is a long non-coding RNA of Canis lupus familiaris (dog), 1296 nucleotides long. RefSeq lists it as uncharacterized. The record is from RefSeq and is a predicted model, not a curated record. NCBI's taxonomy places the organism in Eukaryota, Metazoa, Chordata, Mammalia, Carnivora, Canidae. The transcript has 2 exons.